Molecule: ribosomal RNA, 2924 nt
Filed under: Escherichia coli
Lineage: Bacteria; Pseudomonadati; Pseudomonadota; Gammaproteobacteria; Enterobacterales; Enterobacteriaceae
Description: 23S ribosomal RNA
Rfam family: Bacterial large subunit ribosomal RNA
Source: RNAcentral
GGGUUGUGAGGUUAAGCGACUAAGCGUACACGGUGGAUGCCCUGGCAGUCAGAGGCGAUGAAGGACGUGCUAAUCUGCGAUAAGCGUCGGUGAGGUGAUAUGAACCGUUAUAACCGGCGAUUUCCGAAUGGGGAAACCCAGUGUGAUUUGUCACACUAUCAUUAACUGAAUCCAUAGGUUAAUGAGGCGAACCGGGGGAACUGAAACAUCUAAGUACCCCGAGGAAAAGAAAUCAACCGAGAUUCCCCCAGUAGCGGCGAGCGAACGGGGAGCAGCCCAGAGCCUGAAUCAGUGUGUGUGUUAGUGGAAGCGUCUGGAAAGGCGCGCGAUACAGGGUGACAGCCCCGUACACAAAAAUGCACAUACUGUGAGCUCGAUGAGUAGGGCGGGACACGUGGUAUCCUGUCUGAAUAUGGGGGGACCAUCCUCCAAGGCUAAAUACUCCUGACUGACCGAUAGUGAACCAGUACCGUGAGGGAAAGGCGAAAAGAACCCCGGCGAGGGGAGUGAAAAAGAACCUGAAACCGUGUACGUACAAGCAGUGGGAGCACGCUUCGGCGUGUGACUGCGUACCUUUUGUAUAAUGGGUCAGCGACUUAUAUUCUGUAGCAAGGUUAACCGAAUAGGGGAGCCGAAGGGAAACCGAGUCUUAACUGGGCGUUAAGUUGCAGGGUAUAGACCCGAAACCCGGUGAUCUAGCCAUGGGCAGGUUGAAGGUUGGGUAACACUAACUGGAGGACCGAACCGACUAAUGUUGAAAAAUUAGCGGAUGACUUGUGGCUGGGGGUGAAAGGCCAAUCAAACCGGGAGAUAGCUGGUUCUCCCCGAAAGCUAUUUAGGUAGCGCCUCGUGAAUUCAUCUCCGGGGGUAGAGCACUGUUUCGGCAAGGGGGUCAUCCCGACUUACCAACCCGAUGCAAACUGCGAAUACCGGAGAAUGUUAUCACGGGAGACACACGGCGGGUGCUAACGUCCGUCGUGAAGAGGGAAACAACCCAGACCGCCAGCUAAGGUCCCAAAGUCAUGGUUAAGUGGGAAACGAUGUGGGAAGGCCCAGACAGCCAGGAUGUUGGCUUAGAAGCAGCCAUCAUUUAAAGAAAGCGUAAUAGCUCACUGGUCGAGUCGGCCUGCGCGGAAGAUGUAACGGGGCUAAACCAUGCACCGAAGCUGCGGCAGCGACACUAUGUGUUGUUGGGUAGGGGAGCGUUCUGUAAGCCUGCGAAGGUGUACUGUGAGGUAUGCUGGAGGUAUCAGAAGUGCGAAUGCUGACAUAAGUAACGAUAAAGCGGGUGAAAAGCCCGCUCGCCGGAAGACCAAGGGUUCCUGUCCAACGUUAAUCGGGGCAGGGUGAGUCGACCCCUAAGGCGAGGCCGAAAGGCGUAGUCGAUGGGAAACAGGUUAAUAUUCCUGUACUUGGUGUUACUGCGAAGGGGGGACGGAGAAGGCUAUGUUGGCCGGGCGACGGUUGUCCCGGUUUAAGCGUGUAGGCUGGUUUUCCAGGCAAAUCCGGAAAAUCAAGGCUGAGGCGUGAUGACGAGGCACUACGGUGCUGAAGCAACAAAUGCCCUGCUUCCAGGAAAAGCCUCUAAGCAUCAGGUAACAUCAAAUCGUACCCCAAACCGACACAGGUGGUCAGGUAGAGAAUACCAAGGCGCUUGAGAGAACUCGGGUGAAGGAACUAGGCAAAAUGGUGCCGUAACUUCGGGAGAAGGCACGCUGAUAUGUAGGUGAAGUCCCUCGCGGAUGGAGCUGAAAUCAGUCGAAGAUACCAGCUGGCUGCAACUGUUUAUUAAAAACACAGCACUGUGCAAACACGAAAGUGGACGUAUACGGUGUGACGCCUGCCCGGUGCCGGAAGGUUAAUUGAUGGGGUCAGCGCAAGCGAAGCUCUUGAUCGAAGCCCCGGUAAACGGCGGCCGUAACUAUAACGGUCCUAAGGUAGCGAAAUUCCUUGUCGGGUAAGUUCCGACCUGCACGAAUGGCGUAAUGAUGGCCAGGCUGUCUCCACCCGAGACUCAGUGAAAUUGAACUCGCUGUGAAGAUGCAGUGUACCCGCGGCAAGACGGAAAGACCCCGUGAACCUUUACUAUAGCUUGACACUGAACAUUGAGCCUUGAUGUGUAGGAUAGGUGGGAGGCUUUGAAGUGUGGACGCCAGUCUGCAUGGAGCCGGCCUUGAAAUACCACCCUUUAAUGUUUGAUGUUCUAACGUAGACCCGUGAUCCGGGUUGCGGACAGUGUCUGGUGGGUAGUUUGACUGGGGCGGUCUCCUCCUAAAGAGUAACGGAGGAGCACGAAGGUUGGCUAAUCCUGGUCGGACAUCAGGAGGUUAGUGCAAUGGCAUAAGCCAGCUUGACUGCGAGCGUGACGGCGCGAGCAGGUGCGAAAGCAGGUCAUAGUGAUCCGGUGGUUCUGAAUGGAAGGGCCAUCGCUCAACGGAUAAAAGGUACUCCGGGGAUAACAGGCUGAUACCGCCCAAGAGUUCAUAUCGACGGCGGUGUUUGGCACCUCGAUGUCGGCUCAUCACAUCCUGGGGCUGAAGUAGGUCCCAAGGGUAUGGCUGUUCGCCAUUUAAAGUGGUACGCGAGCUGGGUUUAGAACGUCGUGAGACAGUUCGGUCCCUAUCUGCCGUGGGCGCUGGAGAACUGAGGGGGGCUGCUCCUAGUACGAGAGGACCGGAGUGGACGCAUCACUGGUGUUCGGGUUGUCAUGCCAAUGGCACUGCCCGGUAGCUAAAUGCGGAAGAGAUAAGUGCUGAAAGCAUCUAAGCACGAAACUUGCCCCGAGAUGAGUUCUCCCUGACCCUUUAAGGGUCCUGAAGGAACGUUGAAGACGACGACGUUGAUAGGCCGGGUGUGUAAGCGCAGCGAUGCGUUGAGCUAACCGGUACUAAUGAACCGUGAGGCUUAACCUUACAACGCCGAAG